Molecule: long non-coding RNA, 1560 nt
Organism: Perognathus longimembris pacificus (Pacific pocket mouse)
Lineage: Eukaryota; Metazoa; Chordata; Mammalia; Rodentia; Heteromyidae
Exons: 2
Source: RefSeq, a predicted model, not a curated record
AACAAAAACCUCAGCUCCAAAGACUUAGCUAUACCGAUACCGCCCUUCCGAUUUUUGUCCCACAAUCAAGGAUUUGGGGGAGCAAAAAUAUUCAUCCCAGGCUUCUACAGUUUCCUAAAAUACCCCGCCUAUUUUGAGUUUGAGAGAUACUGGUGCCCAAAUGAAGAAAACGAAAUCAUCUCCCCCCUCAAAUUAUCUUCCUUUGUCUUUCUGUCUCUGUGCUCCGGAGAGGGUACCAAGAUUGCCUGCGACCAGAGAUCAGAGAAGACUGAAAAGGAAGCCGCCGCCGGGGCGGCCAGGCUCACCGCAGUGGCCAAGAUUCAGCCAUACCAGCCCGAUAAAUGCGCUAAGCUCUCCUUCCUGUAACUUGUUUCUUGUUUUAAGUUCGAAUGUAGGCCAUCCCUAUUUAAAAUGAAUGAAUUAGAACUAAAUAUGUCAUGAAAGUAAAAUAACUGGAAAUAAAGAGAGCUCUAGCUCCAAAUGUUUGCCGAAUUAAGUAGAAAGCGGAAAGUGCCUUCGCUCAGGAGGUUACUCUGGGCCUCUGUUCACAAGUCUCUAUUUGAAGAUCUGGCCUUUGCCCAACUGCCACCCAAGAGGUGGGGAUUUGGGGGGUUUCCUUCCCUUUCCAACCCUUGCUUCUUCCUUAUGAGGUCUAGAAUUUUAGCUUUCAUCUCUGUAUUUGUGCCUGGCCCUGCCAAGCAGAUCCGUAGCCACCUUUGAAGGUCUGCAGGAAAAAGAUAUUUUUGUGGAACAGCAAGGCUUAAAAUUUUUUUUGUUUUGUUAUGUUUUUGUGAGUGUGUGACUGAACAUAUGAGCUUGUGGAUGUAUUUAUUGGAGGGCAAAUGUGAAUCUCUGUUUAUAAGCCAAUGUGCGAAUGUACAUUGGUAUCUAUCAAUAUGUCUGUAAGUGACUGUGAAUGUGUGUUUACUUGUGAGUGUGUGUGAAUGGGAAUGCCUGUCUUCUGGGCAUAGAGCCUGGAUUGUGUGAAUGCUUGUAUGUUUAUUUGUGAACAUAGGGAUAUCUAUGUUUAUGACUGCAUGUGAUAACAGAUAUUUUUACGUGAUGUCAGCUUGUAAAUAUGUGUUGUGGCACUGGUCUAUAUCAUUGUAUAAGAGUGUAAAAUUGGCUCUCUAGUUGGAAGUCCUCAGAGUAGGGAGCAUCGGUAAAAGAGCAGAUCCAGCAGAGAAAGAAAAGACAGAAAAGACUGAGAGCAGUCAGUUAAAGCAGAAGGGGCCCUUGGUGCCCAUCCAUGACUAACCAUGACCCCCCCUCCCAUCUUCAGAGAGACAGAAAAUAGGGCAUCUGUUUAUUUUUAAUCUUGUUUUAUUUUUCCAUCCUUCAGCUAUACAUAGAAUGUAAAAAGGAGCUGGGGUGGCUGGUGGGAACGAGGAAUCAUGGUCAGGUGCAUGGGGACAAAUGAGCUAGCCAGCUAGUUGGUGGUUCCUUGGGGCUCCCUAAGGCCCUUUCAGUAUGCUACUGGGAAGGCAGAGGCUCAGGAGAGUGGGCGCACAGGGAACCACAUGUUACUCCACGGUCCACAAACACAGCAAGAAAGACAGC